AUUUUAUUAAUUUUUUUUACAUUAUAAAUCUUUUGAUUUUAAUGGAAAAAUAUCAAAAAUUUGCCCCUCUUGAUUUAAAAUCCUGGCUUUGUCCCUGCCCUUUCCUAAACAAGGUGCUAUGUUCAAAUCUGACUUAAUAAAUAGAAUGAAAAAUUGUAUUUAAAACAACCAUAUAUGACAUGAAAAAACCUAGAGGUGUAGAGUAGCCAGGCUGGGAUGAGCUUCUUGAGCUUUCUGAGUUUGGAAGUCCAUUUUUCCCUUUAGUCAAAAGAUUUUGUUGAUCUGUGGCAGGAGAGACAAUCAACUUUCGUUAUUCUUUUAGGCGUCAUCCUGGAUGUUUUGUCAUAUUUCAAUAGGAAACUCUGCACUGUACACAAUCAAUUUGAUAUAACUCAUCUAACCUUAUAUGGGAAGUGGUAUUGAUGAAAUGUACCUUGUUACAUUGUAGUGGUUAGUCCUGCCUAUAUUUCCUCAAUUAAUCUGUGGUUUAAUAACUUUCGUGGUUUGCAGGUCCGUAUUGCACGCAUUUUUA
This 532-nucleotide unclassified non-coding RNA is filed under the name Hevea brasiliensis (rubber tree). The record is from RNAcentral. Lineage: Eukaryota; Viridiplantae; Streptophyta; Magnoliopsida; Malpighiales; Euphorbiaceae.